AUACGGAGGGUGCAAGCGUUAUCCGGAUUUAUUGGGUUUAAAGGGUGCGCAGGCGGACCUGUCAGUCAGUGGUGAAAUCCCGGGGCUCAACCCCGGAACUGCCAUUGAUACUACAGGUCUUGAAUACGGUUGAAGUAGGCGGAAUGUAGCAUGUAGCGGUGAAAUGCAUAGAUAUGCUACAGAACACCGAUCGCGAAGGCAGCUUACUAAGCCGAUAUUGACGCUCAGGCACGAAAGCGAGGGUAGCGAACAGGAUUAGAAACCCUAGUAGUCC
This 274-nucleotide ribosomal RNA is filed under the name uncultured bacterium. Its description in RNAcentral is "partial 16S ribosomal RNA". It matches the Rfam family "Bacterial small subunit ribosomal RNA", at positions 523 to 796 of the family's 1533-position model. The record is from RNAcentral.